CGAGGAAUAUUGGGCAAUGGGGGAAACCCUGACCCAGCAACGCCGCGUGAAGGAAGAAGGCCUUCGGGUUGUAAACUUCUGUGACAGGGGACGAAAGAAAUGACGGUACCCUGAGAGGAAGCCCCGGCAAACUACGUGCCAGCAGCCGCGGUAAUACGUAGGGGGCGAGCGUUGUCCGGAAUCACUGGGCGUAAAGGGCGCGUAGGCGGCGUUUUAAGUCGCAUGUGAAAUCCCCGGGCUUAACCCGGGAUGUGCAUGCGAAACUGAAAUGCUCGAGUGCGGUAGAGGAAAGUGGAAUUCCUAGUGUAGCGGUGGAAUGCGUAGAUAUUAGGAGGAACACCAGUGGCGAAGGCGACUUUCUGGGCCGCAACUGACGCUGAAGCGCGAAAGCGUGGGGAGCAAACA
This 405-nucleotide ribosomal RNA is filed under the name uncultured prokaryote. RNAcentral's name for it is "bacterial SSU rRNA". It matches the Rfam family "Bacterial small subunit ribosomal RNA", at positions 355 to 774 of the family's 1533-position model. The record is from RNAcentral.